GCGGUCGUCAAAGAGGUUGUGAAAUGUUAAAGACGAGCUCAUAUCACAGCCAUCUUUGAUGAUCAUUG
Molecule: microRNA precursor, 68 nt
Filed under: Leptotrombidium deliense
Lineage: Eukaryota; Metazoa; Arthropoda; Arachnida; Trombidiformes; Trombiculidae
Description: mir-2 microRNA precursor
Rfam family: mir-2 microRNA precursor family
About the family: The miRNAs are transcribed as ~70nt precursors (modelled here) and subsequently processed by the Dicer enzyme to give a ~22nt product. In this case the mature sequence comes from the 3' arm of the precursor. The extents of the hairpin precursors are not generally known and are estimated based on hairpin prediction.
Source: Rfam by way of RNAcentral